RNAcentral lists this ribosomal RNA (453 nucleotides) under uncultured bacterium. RNAcentral's name for it is "bacterial SSU rRNA". It matches the Rfam family "Bacterial small subunit ribosomal RNA", at positions 335 to 800 of the family's 1533-position model. The record is from RNAcentral.
ACUCCUACGGGAGGCAGCAGUGGGGAAUAUUGCACAAUGGGCGCAAGCCUGAUGCAGCAACGCCGCGUGAGGGAUGAAGGCCUUCGGGUUGUAAACCUCUUUUAGCAGGGAAGAAGCGAAAGUGACGGUACCUGCAGAAAAAGCACCGGCUAACUACGUGCCAGCAGCCGCGGUAAUACGGAGGGUUCAAGCGUUGUUCGGAAUUACUGGGCGUAAAGAGCGCGUAGGCGGCGCAGACAGUCAGAUGUGAAAGCCCUGGGCUCAACCCGGGAGGUGCAUUUGAUACUACUGUGCUAGAGUACCGAAGAGGUGAGUGGAAUUCCUAGUGUAGAGGUGAAAUUCGUAGAUAUUAGGAGGAACACCAGUGGCGAAGGCGGCUCACUGGUCGGUAACUGACGCUAAGGCGCGAAAGCGUGGGGAGCAAACAGGAUUAGAUACCCUGGUAGGUCAGUC